This 799-nucleotide unclassified non-coding RNA is filed under the name Bombus terrestris (buff-tailed bumblebee). Its description in RNAcentral is "misc RNA ENSBTSG00005021284.1". Lineage: Eukaryota; Metazoa; Arthropoda; Insecta; Hymenoptera; Apidae. The record is from RNAcentral.
AUGAUUUGUUGCACCUUCGACGCUCAACAGUUGAACGAGUAACGUGCUUUGGCGAGUAAACAAAUCCUGAUACAAUGGACAAGGCGAUCAUUAUUAACUGCACACACAAUACACGUUAUUACAACUUAUGACACACCGUCGGCAUCGCACAUUUCAAUCUAACGUAUCACGUAUUUAUCGAAAAUCAGACUCAAAUCACGCUUGAUUUCAACGGAUUCGUCAAAGAACGCGUAACGUGCGAAACUAUUCGUUCGAUAAUCGAAAGAUGCGACGCGAACGGCGAGGUAUCGAAUCUCACAGGAACCCCACGCCCUUCGGUACGUACGUUCCUGUCUGAUGGCAUUCUUCUCACUUUCUCCUACCCUGAAUCGAAUGGCGCCGUGCAUUCGUCCUUCUUCCUCGUUCCCGCGCAGUCUCCAACACUGAAAGCCUCGUCGUUUCUCCCUCUCUGUGGUCCUACCUGGCUUCCCUCUCCCGGUCGGUGGUCGAUGGAGGGGCGCGGGUGAACGCGGUCGGACGACAGUCCUUCCGCGGAUUGCGGAUAUUGUGUCGGGAAGCCUCGUGGUACGGUGUCCUUGCUAUACCCGUGUUCCUGUGACGCACAGAGUGGAAGGCGAGUGGCAUCCAGUUUUUCCAUAGCGAUAAACCAACUCGUGUCUUUUCGUCGGGACCUCGAACCUUUUGGAGGACUGAAGAAUCGUUUCACGGUCGCCGUCUCCUUGAUGCUACUCGUAGUUCGUUCUCGCGUUCUCUUCCUCUCCGUACUUCCGACGUACGUACUUCGUGACACCGGUUGUAA